GCAAACUUGGUCAUUUAGAGGAAGUAAAAGUCGUAACAAGGUUUCCGUAGGUGAACCUGCGGAAGGAUCAUUAGUGAUUGCCAUCUUGGCUUAUAACUAUAUCCAUCUACACCUGUGAACUGUUUGAUUGAAUCUCACGAUUCAAUUCUUUACAAACGUUGUGUAAUGAACGUCAUUAGAUCAUAACAAAAAAAACUUUUAACAACGGAUCUCUUGGCUCUCGCAUCGAUGAAGAACGCAGC
This 242-nucleotide unclassified non-coding RNA is filed under the name uncultured fungus. RNAcentral describes it as "partial contains small subunit ribosomal RNA, internal transcribed spacer 1, and 5.8S ribosomal RNA". The stretch from base 1 to 73 matches the Rfam family "Eukaryotic small subunit ribosomal RNA", at positions 1759 to 1831 of the family's 1831-position model. The record is from RNAcentral. Lineage: Eukaryota; Fungi.